CGGCACGGCUGGAGGCAGUGGCUCACCUGCUGCUCUUUGUGUUCUCUCCCUCUCUCUCUCUCUCUCUCUUCCUUUCUCUCUCAGUGGCAAGAUACACACCAGCAGCUCUAGCUUUCCUCUUGACCUACCAGGAACACCAGCGGACAGGACUAGACAGCCUCUCUUCACAAGAGUUCACAGCUGUCCUAGAAGUGAGUCUCUGGCUCACGGGGCCACAUGCUCACCCUGGAUGCCAUCUCUGUGGCCAGAGGGAUGGAAGAAGCCGAUUGCUCAGGCCUCAGUCACAUGCCGUCUCCUGGAGCCGGGAAUAAGGCCAUCCCCACAUGGACCGCACUGUAAGGGAGGAGGGGCUGCCUGGUGCUCGUGCCAAAAGAAAGUCUUUUCUCUCUCAGUCGCGGCUCUGUCUCCCUCGCGGAUGUUGUGAUGUGAAGGGUUCAGCGGCCUCAGCACCAGAUGGAGGCCCCACUUGUCGUUUGGAAAACCCUCUAGGCAGUGCCCUGGCCGCACACGUCUCCGGGUGCACAGCCGUCC
Molecule: long non-coding RNA, 531 nt
Filed under: Equus asinus (donkey)
Lineage: Eukaryota; Metazoa; Chordata; Mammalia; Perissodactyla; Equidae
Description: lncRNA (ENSEASG00005026186.1)
Source: RNAcentral